Molecule: non-coding RNA, 513 nt
Organism: Hydra vulgaris (swiftwater hydra)
Lineage: Eukaryota; Metazoa; Cnidaria; Hydrozoa; Anthoathecata; Hydridae
Source: RefSeq, a predicted model, not a curated record
ACCCAGUGAAACUUUUUUUUUUUUUUUAUUGUCGGUAAUUGUCGAAAUCGCAAUUUCAAGUAGUCUCAAGAUUGAAAUUGCUUUGAUGUUUGCGGCUCGAUGAACUUCCAUCUGUUUUAUACUUUCAUGGUACAACUUAUUUACCGUUGGAAAGAAUGAAAUAUCUUGAAUAUCAUUGAAAGGUGAACCAGUCUGCUACUUCAGAAAGCGCUGAUGUGGAGGAAAAAAAAAGAAAAUUCUCCGUAACUAGCAAAAACUCAAAAACAUUAAAAUUUUAUUUUAACAAUUAAAAGUUUUCAUACGUAUAUUAUUGCCGAACUUAAUAGUGCUGUUAGGAGUAGUGUUCUUUCGAGCGUGUUUGACACAGGACUCUUGACAGCCAUUGCAACCAAGAUGAUGUCGAGAAAAAGUCGCAGAAUUUCUUUUUAUAAGAAAAACGUGAACGAAAGUGUAUGCAAAUAUCUAAUGUACGUAAACUUCAAAUCAGGCAAUAUUAAAACAUAUUAAAACAUA